AAGGCUUGACAUGGGGAAGACUGGACGAGAGAUCGUCCUUCUCUAGCAAUAGAGCUUCCACACAGGUGCUGCAUGGCUGUCGUCAGCUCGUGUCGUGAGAUGUUGGGUUAAGUCCCGCAACGAGCGCAACCCCGUUUCUAGUUGCCAUCAUUCAGUUGGGCCCUCUAGAGAGACUGCCGCGAAUAACGCGGAGGAAGGUGGGGACGACGUCAAGUCAUCAUGGCCCUUACG
Molecule: ribosomal RNA, 231 nt
Filed under: uncultured bacterium
Lineage: Bacteria
Description: partial 16S ribosomal RNA
Rfam family: Bacterial small subunit ribosomal RNA
Source: RNAcentral